Molecule: long non-coding RNA, 98 nt
Organism: Prunus persica (peach)
Lineage: Eukaryota; Viridiplantae; Streptophyta; Magnoliopsida; Rosales; Rosaceae
Exons: 2
Source: RefSeq, a predicted model, not a curated record
CCUAGGUGGGCUUUAGAAGCAUUUGUGAUUGCAAAUGCUGAAAGGUAUUCUGGAGUAUGGCUGAUAACGCGGUGCGGGUCGCUUUUGAAAAGUGGCUA